CGCCUCUUGUAAGAGGUCCAGCCUGCCCAGUGAUUAACGGCCGCGGUACCCUAACCGCGCGAAGGUAGCAUAAUCACUUGUUCCUUAAAUAGGGACUAGUAUCAACGGCAUCACGAGGGUUCUACUGUCUCCUCUCUCUAAUCAGUGAAAUUGUGAAGAAGCGGGGAUAAUGUUAUAAGACGAGAAGACCCCAUGGAGCUUUAAAGGUUUUGGGUUGGGGUGACCACGGAGUAAAAAUUAACCUCCUAUUCAAGAAUUACCCUUCAAAUUAGUACACUAACGAUCCGAUCAACGGACCAAGUUACCCUGGGGAUAACAGCGCAAUCUACUUCGAGAGCCCAUAUCGACAAGUAGGCUUACGACCUCGAUGUUGGAUCAGGUAUCCCAGUGGUGCCUAGUUGU
RNAcentral lists this ribosomal RNA (402 nucleotides) under Taruga eques (Gunther's whipping frog). Its description in RNAcentral is "partial 16S ribosomal RNA". It matches the Rfam family "Bacterial large subunit ribosomal RNA", at positions 1837 to 2562 of the family's 2925-position model. The record is from RNAcentral. Lineage: Eukaryota; Metazoa; Chordata; Amphibia; Anura; Rhacophoridae.